GUUCUGCAGAAUUAUGCAGAAUGCUGAAGAGCGCGUUGUUGACCGCUCGGUCUUAUUCAGGUGCUCGGUUAUAACUAGGUUUGGUCUCUGUAUAGUAUUACCAUUCAUAACCGUUCGGUCUUAGUUGAUAUGUGGUCUCUUAGUCGCGUUUGGUCUUGUACUAGCAUUUGGUCUAAUACUGGUACUCGAUCUUGUACUAGUGCUCGAUUAUAUACUAGUGCUCGGUCAUGUACUAGUGUUCGGUCUUGUACUAGUGCUCGGUCUUCUUUCAAUAGGACUUGGUCUACAACGUUAGUGGUUGGUCCUUAAUAGUGUUGGGCUAUCUCCUCAGUCGAACCUAUCAUUUACCGUUUGGCCUAUCUCUUGGGUGGUGAGGUUAUGUUCGGUCUCCAACGUUCACAGGGUACUGGGUUUGAUACAUUGUUUUCAUUGCUGUUUGAGGAUUGUUAAGUUAUUUAUAUAGAUCUGUUGCACAUGAACAAUUAUGUUGAUAUUUAAUUAAGUUAUGAAGUUACAAUUGGUAUGGAAGAGAAUUCCAAGGAGGAAUAUCUUGGGAUUGGUUAUCAAGGUGGUUGAUGAGUCUAUAUUUUCUUGACUUCACUUAGUUUAUUGUGCUAGAAUUAAUCAGGGAAUUGUGCUUAAUUGUCCGGUAUUUUCCCGUUUUCGCUAAUAGUGCUUAAUUUGGCCAGAAAUUCUAAUUUUAAUUAAUUUGAAUAUUUUGAGCUAAUUAUUUGCAUUAUUAUUUUCAGGGAAAAAUUUGGAAAUUCAAUUUGGGAUAUUUGGAGUGCUAUCAAAUAAGUCAAGACUCUUCGCAUGGACAUUUCAAAUUUAAUUACUUUGAAACUUAGUAGUCUAGAUAGUUUUAAUUAAAUUUGUAAACAAUGGGCCAA
Molecule: long non-coding RNA, 890 nt
Filed under: Vigna radiata
Lineage: Eukaryota; Viridiplantae; Streptophyta; Magnoliopsida; Fabales; Fabaceae
Description: long non-coding RNA (VRAD_LNC012391)
Source: RNAcentral